Molecule: ribosomal RNA, 2898 nt
Filed under: Clostridioides difficile
Lineage: Bacteria; Bacillati; Bacillota; Clostridia; Peptostreptococcales; Peptostreptococcaceae
Also listed under: 1 other name
Description: 23S ribosomal RNA
Rfam family: Bacterial large subunit ribosomal RNA
Source: RNAcentral
GGUCAAGUUAUUAAGGGUGCAGGGCGGAUGCCUUGGCACUAGGAGCCGAUGAAGGACGUGAUAAGCUGCGAUAAGCUUCGGGGAGUUGCACGUAAACUUUGAUCCGAAGAUUUCCGAAUGAGGAAACUCACUUAGAGUAAUGUCUAAGUAUCAUUAAGUGAAUACAUAGCUUAAUGAGGGGAACUCAGGGAACUGAAACAUCUAAGUACCUGAAGGAAGAGAAAGAAAUUCGAUUCCGUAAGUAGCGGCGAGCGAACGCGGAUUAGCCCAAACCAAUAAAGUUUUCUUUAUUGGGGUUGCGGACAUAUCAUAACGAAGAGGUAUCGUAAUUGAAGAGGUUUGGAAAGACCCACCACAGAAGGUAAUAGUCCUGUAUGUUAAACGAGAAGACUUCAGAUAUGAUCCAGAGUACCACGGGACACGUGAAACCCUGUGGGAAGCAGGAGGGACCACCCUCCAAGGCUAAAUACUACCUAGUGACCGAUAGCGUAUAGUACCGUGAGGGAAAGGUGAAAAGAACCCCGGGAGGGGAGUGAAAUAGAACCUGAAACCCUGCACUUACAAGCUGUGGAAGCACAUUUCUUGUGUGACCGCGUACUUUUUGUAGAACGGGCCAACGAGUUACGUUAAGUAGCAAGGUUAAGCACUUAAGGUGCGGAGCCGUAGCGAAAGCGAGUUUUAACUGAGCGUUCAGUUACUUGACGUAGACCCGAAACCGGGCGACCUACCCAUGAGCAGGAUGAAGCGAAAGUAAAAUUUCGUGGAGGUCCGAACCCACGAGCGUUGAAAAGCUCGGGGAUGACUUGUGGGUAGCGGUGAAAUUCCAAUCGAGCCCGGAGAUAGCUGGUUCUCCCCGAAAUAGCUUUAGGGCUAGCCUCAAGGUGAGAGAUACGGAGGUAGAGCACUGAAUGUCCUAGGGGGUAUUGCACCUACCGAAGACUAUCAAACUCCGAAUGCCGUCAUCUUAUACUUGGGAGUCAGACUGUGGGUGAUAAGAUUCAUAGUCGAAAGGGCAACAGCCCAGAUCGUCAGCUAAGGUCCCUAAAUGUAAGUUAAGUGGUAAAGGAUGUGGGAUUGCACAGACAACCAGGAUGUUGGCUUAGAAGCAGCCACUCAUUCAAAGAGUGCGUAAUAGCUCACUGGUCGAGUGAUCCUGCGCCGAAGAUUUCCGGGGCUAAAACUUACUACCGAAGCUACGGCAUCAGUAAUGAUGGGUAGGGGAGCUUCCCAUACGGGUUGAAGCAUGACCGUAAGGACAUGUGGACAGUAUGGGAGUGAGAAUGUUGGCAUGAGUAGCGAGAUGUGGGUGAGAAUCCCACAGGCCGUAAACCCAAGGUUUCCAGGGGAAGGUUCGUCCGCCCUGGGUUAGUCGGGACCUAAGCUGAGGCCGAAAGGCGUAGGUGAUGGACAACAGGUUGAUAUUCCUGUACUACCGAUAACCGUUUGAGAGAAGGGAUGACACAGUAGGAUAAGCUAAGCACACUGUUGGUUAUGUGUGCCCAAGCAUUGAGGCAGUCAAAGUAGGCAAAUCCGCUUUGAUAAUGCUGGGAUGUGAUGGGGAGCGAAAUUUAGUAGCGAAGUAGCUGAUUUCACACUGUCAAGAAAAGUCUCUAUCGAGGUUAAAGGUACCCGUACCGCAAACCGACACAGGUGGGUGAGGAGAGUAUCCUAAGGCCAGCGAGAGAACUGUUGUUAAGGAACUCGGCAAAAUGACCCCGUAACUUAGGGAUAAGGGGUGCCACCAUCAGGUGGCCGCAGAGAAUAGGCCCAAGCGACUGUUUACCAAAAACAUAGGUUUCUGCUAAGUCGCAAGACGAUGUAUAGGAGCUGACGCCUGCCCGGUGCUGGAAGGUUAAGGGGAUCUGUUAGAGCAAUCGAAGCAGUGAACUUAAGCCCCAGUAAACGGCGGCCGUAACUAUAACGGUCCUAAGGUAGCGAAAUUCCUUGUCGGGUAAGUUCCGACCCGCACGAAAGGCGUAACGAUUUGGGCACUGUCUCAACAACAGACUCGGUGAAAUUGUAAUUCCGGUGAAGAUGCCGGAUACCUGCGACAGGACGGAAAGACCCCAUGGAGCUUUACUGUAGCUUGACAUUGGGUCUUGGUACUACAUGUACAGGAUAGGUGGGAGGCUUUGAAACCAGGACGCCAGUUUUGGCGGAGCCAUCCUUGGGAUACCACCCUUGUAGUACUGGGACUCUAACCAUAGGCCAUGAAUCUGGUCUUGGGACACUGUCAGGUGGGCAGUUUGACUGGGGCGGUCGCCUCCCAAAAGGUAACGGAGGCGCUCAAAGGUUCUCUCAGUACGGUCGGAAAUCGUACGUAGAGUGUAAAGGCAAAAGAGAGCUUGAUUGCAAGACAUACAGGUCGAGCAAGGAUGAAAAUCGGACUUAGUGAUCCGGUGGUUCUGCGUGGAAGGGCCAUCGCUCAACGGAUAAAAGCUACCCUGGGGAUAACAGGCUUAUCUCCCCCAAGAGUCCACAUCGACGGGGAGGUUUGGCACCUCGAUGUCGGCUCAUCACAUCCUGGGGCUGUAGUAGGUCCCAAGGGUUGGGCUGUUCGCCCAUUAAAGUGGUACGCGAGCUGGGUUCAGAACGUCGUGAGACAGUUCGGUCCCUAUCCGUCGCAGGCGUAGGAAAUUUGAGAAGACCUGUCCUUAGUACGAGAGGACCGGGAUGGACGUACCUCUGGUGUACCAGUUGUUCUGCCAAGGGCAUGGCUGGGUAGCUAUGUACGGAAUGGAUAAGCGCUGAAAGCAUCUAAGCGCGAAGCCAACUUCAAGAUAAGAUUUCCCACCGCAAGGGUAAGACUCCAGAAAGACUAUCUGGUUGAUAGGUCGAAGGUGUAAGUGCAGCAAUGUAUUUAGCUUAUCGAUACUAAUAGGUCGAGGACUUGACCAA